This 859-nucleotide ribosomal RNA is filed under the name uncultured Neocallimastigales. RNAcentral's name for it is "partial large subunit ribosomal RNA". It matches the Rfam family "Eukaryotic large subunit ribosomal RNA", at positions 1 to 649 of the family's 3401-position model. The record is from RNAcentral. Lineage: Eukaryota; Fungi; Neocallimastigomycota; Neocallimastigomycetes; Neocallimastigales.
CGCAUCUGUGCAUGCAGCAUAUCAAUAAGCGGAGGAAAAGUCAAUACCUACGCUUAGGAUGUUGACACACGCGCGUGCUCGACUCUAUACAUGACUCUGUGCAUAUCAAUAAGCGGAGGAAAAGAAACUAACAAGGAUUCCCUUAGUAACGGCGAGUGAAGCGGGAAGAGCUCAAAUUUGAAAUCUUCAAGGUUUUACCUUGACGAAUUGUAGUUUAAAGAAGUGUUUUCUGCUGAAGUUUUGGUAAAAGUUCUUUGGAAUAGGACAUCAUAGAGGGUGAGAAUCCCGUAUUUGACCAUUAUUUUCAGCUUUGUGAUACACUUUCAAAGAGUCGGAUUGUUUGGGAAUGCAGUCCAAAAUGGGUGGUAAAUUUCAUCUAAAGCUAAAUAUUGGCGAGAGACCGAUAGCGAACAAGUACCGUGAGGGAAAGAUGAAAAGAACUUUGAAAAGAGAGUUAAACAGUACGUGAAAUUGUCAAAAGGGAAGCGUUUGACACCAGUGUUGUUUUCUCGAAAAUCAAUUAAAAAUGGCUCGAUUUUGUAUUGCUGAGACCUUAAAAGCUCACUGUACAUUUUUCGUGUCUUUUUUAAUGCACUUUUCGUUUAACAAGUCAACAUCAGUUUCUUUUGUUGUAAAAGGGUCAUUGGAAGGUGGCUUUCUUUUCGGAGAAAGUGUUUAUAGCCUUUGGCCUCUGCAAUCGGAAGAGACUGAGGUCUGCAGCGUAGACUCUUCGGGGUUAGAUACAUUUGUGCUAAGUUAUAGCUUUUUAUAGACAACUUGUUGACUAUAAUUAGUCUUGUAGCUUACUCGCUUAUGCUAUUUUACCUACGCUUAGGAUGUUGAGUAGCGACAUACGCAC